Long non-coding RNA from Lolium perenne, 4633 nucleotides. RefSeq lists it as uncharacterized. NCBI's taxonomy places the organism in Eukaryota, Viridiplantae, Streptophyta, Magnoliopsida, Poales, Poaceae. The record is from RefSeq and is a predicted model, not a curated record.
UCUCCCUCCCUCGCCAAGGAAGGAAGAGCCCAUAGCCCACGAUCCCCGCCGCAACGCUAGAUCUGGAGAUGACCAAUCGAACCAGAACGAGUUCUUACCAAACUUAGUUCUCGAAUCAAAUCUCUGAUUUUGCUCUUUUAAUUUCUUGCCUCCUUGCACACGAAAAUCCACCGAUAUAUAACCAUAUCCUCCUUCGGAGACUCCCACAGAUCUGUUGAAACAAAUCGAUUCCAACCUCGCCGGAAAUUUCUCGCCACGCACGGAUCCAGGCGUUCACGGACGGCCCGCCACGUUGUGCGAGCAGGAGCAAAGGACGCAGAUGGGUGGUGCCGCCGCACGUGUACCUGGCGUAGCGGGGCGCCGGCCGUAGAGAUCAAGUUUCUGCCGUCCCGACCUGAACAGAGCGAGGGGAGGGAGAAUGUGGCCGAUGGCAACAGCCGCAAAAGAAGAAAAAAAAUCCCCAAUCGACAUCAAUGCAAGCUACCACGGAAACCUACCAGCGAGGCCUCGCACCACCGGCAGGGCCUCAGCCGCCCCCAUCGACAAGAGUCGCCGGCUAGAGCCCCGCUCACCCCAUCCCCACUUCUUGCUCGCUGAGACUCCCGCGCGCCUUCAGCUCCCUCGCCCACCUACGCGGUCGCUGGCCUGCCUCCGGUGCUAGCUCCAAUAGAACUACGGGCACCCCCACCGGCACAGCGGACUCAGAGCGCGCCGAAUCACAGGGCUCAGCGCCGCCCUCCCCGUGUCCUCAUGUGCUUCGCUCGCUGACAAGGCACGAGGUGAAGACGGGCGUGGCUGGGUGCGAGAUCUGCAUCCAGAACAAGGCGGUGUAGACGUCGUCGCGGUCGGCAUCCCUUGACAGAGCCGCUGAUGCUGCGGAGGUUGCAGCGAUACGGAGAGCGGUCAGCAGCUCCCAUCAACAACUACAAGGAGGCUAAGGAGAUAAUACUCUGUGGUGAGCCAUUUAGUUCAGUAUAAUCGGCGUGACGCAGUGUAGACAUUGUGCUUCAUGAACUUGCGUGUAUAAUCCAAAGGUACAUGCUCAUGUUCAAUUUACUUCGAUUGUUUUUCAUUCGAUGAAUUUACAGAACAGUUGUUAGAUGCGCUAUCCCAGUUGAGAAAAUACACACCUACCAAAGGACAUUUUAUAGGAAUUUCCUAGAAUCAGCAACUUUGACCAACGAAUAUACCUGGGCUGGGCUGCACUUGCCAGUAUCGAAACAGAAUAUCCAUUCUAUCCUACUCAAAAUCCAUCUGCGACAUCUUUGGUCUUGAUGUAUGAAUGUUGGAAUAUGAGAAAGAAACCUAGCUCACAUAAGUGACCUUUAUAUUAGACUGUUGGAAUAAUUAUUCACUCAUAUUGUACAUCAAACAAGACAGUAGGUAAUGGUUGUUAUUCAUAUUCUAAUUUUCUAUACUCAUGACGACCUAGGAUCAUAUUGUAUUAGCUCACCAUCCAACUCAUUUCUGUGGAGCUUAUAAGCACAAUAUUUUCAUGGCAUCAUGAUUUCUGAGGGUUUGUUGUAUUUUGAACGGGUACUAAAAGUGUGAUCAUGUCCUGUAUUUCUUACACCAAAAUGAACUUUAUUAAGUUUUCAUUAUUACAAGAGUGAUCUUGCCAUAUUGGUGAAGAUCAUCGGCUUCACAUGAGCUUUCGUUAGCUUUUCAGUGCUUUAGAGUUGUUUAAUGUUUUCUUAGAAAGAAAGUUAUUUGUAGUUCAGCAUUACUUUUCUUUGUUUGCUUAAGCUAUUGCAUUGUUAGCCUCAUCUUAUUUUCUCUUAGGAUUUUUAAACUAAAGGUAAUUGCUUGGCUAAAGUACGAACUAAGCUUAUAAUAAAUUUUCUAUGGCAUAGAUUCAAUAAAAAUCAACAUAUAGCAACGCACGAACGCGUAAUUGUAAAUUCGUUUGGAUUCCACGAGCGUUUGAGUAUUAGAUUCUCCCGGUGCAACGCACAUGCAAUUUUUAGAUGGUUUGCCCGAGCGUUUGAGUAUUAGAUUCUCCCGUUGCAACGCACGGGCACUUUUGCUAGUCUUUACCUACUAAUAAAGGAAGUAAGGUUUCUCCCCAAAAAUUUCGUCCGUUUUUGAACUACCCUCCAUUUUCAGUCGAAAUUACAUGGAUUGCCACCGCCCAGGUGAAAAAACGGUUGACCACAGCCCAAUCGACCAUAGCCUGCCGUCCAAAAUCGAUCCCCGCCGCCGACCGCUCGAACGCCGGUGACUGGCACCACCACUCGCCCGACACCACCCGCUCAAACCGAGAUGGAGCCGCCGCCCUCCUCCGUCAUGAGGUAUAGUACCCCCGUUCUGACCUCGAUCUCUCGCCUUUGAACCGGUGCAGAUCAGGGGAGGAUGGUGGGGCGGAGCACGUCGACCAGUUCCCCGAGCCGCGGGCGGGGUGGACGCACACCCGAUGAAAUUAUUGUGGAGAUGAAGCCGCCCUCGGAGGCCGUCACCAAGGCAGCCCCUGGUUCGGCCCCGGACUGGGGCGCGGCCGCAAUGGAGCUAAGCGCGGAUCUUGGAUUUCCAGUCGGAUUUUCUAUCCGCAUUGGCCAUGACGGAUGCUUCGGCGAUAGGACAGGGCUUCUGAUUCUAGCUGUGAAGUCUUGAUCUGGUGCUUCCCCUGUUGCUGGUUGCGUCCUGUCUCAUCCUGUGUGGAGGAGCUCCAGUGUCAGCUCUGCUGCUGAAGCGCCAUGGCCCAUGGCUCUGCGUGCGUCGUCGCCCUGCUGUUCUGAACUUCUGAUGCAGUUCCGCGAUAAGCUCACACUCAUGCGAGGAGUGGCUGCUCUUGUCUGAUCCCCUUCUGCUAGCAAGGAAAUUAGGAGAGCACCCUAUUGAUUUCCUCACGCAAACUUGUCGGAUCUGCUACGCCUGCGUGUAAUAGCCCCAGCCUUAUGGGUAACCCCUUUCAAUCAACAACAUUUUUUCUAUUAUUCAUCAACGUAUUGAUUUUUGGAGGUAGCUGAAUUAUAAAUGAGAAAUAGCAAUCUACCAAUUGCUGAGCUGACGUGGUUGCAACUUCAGUUGAUUUGAGGCUUCCUCUAUUUUUUUAAAGAUAGUGGCUCCGCUCAUGGAGGAAAAGGUGUGGUUUCUUGCAAUUUGCAGGCUAUGUGCGACGAACAAGAUGGAAAUCCUCAGGGAAAAGCUGAUUGAUAGUUGUUUGACCUGAUUACUGAGGUACUACGUCAUAAUAUUGUCUGACCUAAUUACCGAGGUACUACAUCAUUCAUAAUAUGUAUUCCUGAAUCAUCAUGAGCUUGCAAGUAAAUACUAGAUAGCACAUCCCAGUUUCCUACAUCUUUGUAUCAAAACAAGCAUGUUCCUACACUUCCUUUUCUUAUAGCACCAUUGUUCUUUCUAUGUAGCUUUAUGUUGAUUUAGCUUGAGAACAACACUUAUACCUACUAAUAAAUUAAGGUUCCUCUCCUUUUUCUUCAUCCGUUUUGUACUUGCCACUGCUUUUGGAUCGAAAUUACGGACACUCCCACCAGUUAUGUGAAUGAACGGGUCCCAGAUCGCAACGGAGCACCAAGGCUGCUUCAAUGUACCAAGGCUGCUUCAAUGUAUUAACAGAAGACUUGUAAAAUCUGAAGAUGCUAUUACUAUCUUAAUUGUGCUAAAUCUCAAUUCGCAUUCAUAAUCUGAAGGUGCUAAUUUCUUUGCAAGCUCGUAGAGAAGCUUAAGAACACGCAUGCUAAUUUUAGAUAUUGUUGUGUUACUACCAUGUUAACUUUCCUAAAUCUCAAUUCACAUAUCAUAAUAUAUCAAAUUUUGAUUUUGAUAUUUGCAGCACUACCUGCAUUUAGCUAUGACAUGUUCACUUUUCAGUACCAUCAGUGAUUCUGGUAUUGUGUUUGACCAUACCUGAAGAAUUCUAGAAAAGAGGGCACAUGCCAGAAAUCAGCAAACAAAUUCACUUCAGCGCACAACAGAGUUUUGAUGCUGGUAAUGUACCUCUCAACCAAGAAGUGAUUUGUUAGAGCUGACAACAGCGACCAAAUGGUUGAGCAAAUUCUAAAGUUGGUCUCCAUACCAAGUAUUACUCUUCAAUGCACGCAUUCUUCAGUUAUAGUAAUCUUGCAAGGAUCAUUGCUGAAUUCUCCCCAGGUACAUAUUGUAGCAUGUGUAGGCGAGAAUGAAGUGCGGAUUCAAGAUUAGGUUGGCCAAAGAGAAUAAAGAUGAUACCCCGCGCGUUGCUGCGGGAUACCUAUGGAUACACGGAGGCAUACAACUAAAUGUUUUUGUUCAUCAGGAGCAUGGAUUUACAAAGCAGUGGCUCAUCCUGGCGAAGCCCAAGGACCGUCCCUGGCUUAGGUGGCUGAUCUUCGAGCUCAGACGGGUCCAUGCUCUUCAUCUUCCGCACGACGACUGAUUUUCCAUCUACCUGCUUCCGCCCAGGGCGCGGAUGUCGUAGUUGAUCCCUCUUUCUGGUUCUCGGUCUGUUAGGGGAGGCCGACCCCAGUACUGUGUUUAUGUUUUCCUUGGCUAAGCUGUACGCCGCAGCAUGUAUUGAUCUUAUGUGAACCUGUGAGGCUUUAUUAAUUUAAAGUCGGGCACCUAGUGCCUUUUAUCUAAAAAAAGAUGUGUGAUGUUAUGGUAACAUAGCUAGUUACCAUCUCACUCUCUUUCUUCA